CGUUGUCCGGAAUUACUGGGCGUAAAGGGUGCGUAGGCGGCAUUACAAGUCUAAUGUGAAAAUCCCCGUGGCUUAACACUGGGGUUUGCAAUAGAAACUGUAAAGCUAGAGUGCAGGAGAGGUAAGUGGAAUUCCUAGUGUAGCGGUGAAAUGCAUAGAUAUUAGGAGGAACACCAGUGGCGAAGGCGACUUACUGGACUGUAACUGACGCUGAAGCACGAAAGCGUGGGGAGGC
Molecule: ribosomal RNA, 235 nt
Filed under: uncultured bacterium
Lineage: Bacteria
Description: partial 16S ribosomal RNA
Rfam family: Bacterial small subunit ribosomal RNA
Source: RNAcentral